AUGAGGUGAGACAUCUACCAGGCUUUGAGACAAACUUUAACUUUUCCUAUGAACUCUUCUCUAAAGCAGGUCACGGGGAAAAAAAGGGUUUAAAGAGAAAUAACUUCUCCGGGCAAAAACUGAGGUUAGCGGGCCUAUCAGCUGUUUCUUCUCACUCCACCACUGCUGCUGACUGGAGGAGCAGCCUGGAAAGCAGCCGCCCUCCCGCAAACAGGCUGCCUCCACCUUCUCCAGUGUGGACUUGAAGUUUUGGAACCACAGAGUAAUGCAGCACUGACAUUACAAACAAGGUGUCCUUAAACAAACAGGUAUCACUGUGUCAUAUUACAAAUUCAUCCAAGCUCGACACUCCAGGAGCUCCGUGAGUGAUCUGGGUUCUGAAGCAAGGAAAAUCAAUUGUAUUUAAACAACGAAAAAUAAUGUCUCCUGAGCUGCUCAUAGCCAAGAAAUCACUCUGGCCCCAUUCUUAAAAUAACAGGUAUUUGGGUAGAACUAUUGAUUGUUUUCACUUUUGUUGCCUUAGUAGAAUGACGCAUCAUCCAUAAAAAAUGUGAAUGUCAGGACGGUGGGACCAUCCUGGCACACUGAGCAGCAGGGACCUCCGAGCCCUCAGAUGUCAUCCAGUCAGGUGUGUGGGGGCCACUCGCCAUGCACAGCUUCUCUCAGCAGAGGCUGACCAGAAUGGUGGUGAUAUGAAGAGUUGGGGAAUUCGACUUGAAUGCAAAACAUAAUACUGCUUUCACUUAAAAAGGUUGGUGAACCAUACUCCAACAGAAAGGGGAAACAAGACUGGCCCUGCUGGAGUGAGGAAGCUGACUGAGGGAAGAACCAGAAGGCUGCCAAAAUGUCUGCUGCUGGGGAAACCAAACCACAGUAACUUCAGAAAUAUAUACUUGGAAUAUGUCAUGUAUUAAUGGGUAAAGACACCAUGGAUAUGAAGGAAAUCACCUAUGGGAGAAUAUUAAGAAGAGAAGAAGGUAAAGAAUCUUCCUUGGAGAACAUCUACAUUUAAAGGUCAGGGAGAAGAUAUAUCAGUAGGAGCGUCAGAGGGGAUUGUGGACAAAGUAUUUACAAAAAUUAAGAUGUGAAGACCACUAGAAUUUGCUUAAAUGUUGAUGGAAAAAGAUACAGCAAACAGGAGUGUGAAAGUAUCGGUAAGUGAAAAGAGGAAAACAGGAAUAGUCAUUGGUGUAAGAUUCCCAAUGGAUUAAGAUAAAAUUGAAUCCAGAUCCUGAAUGGUGGGAUAAACUUUGCAAAAUAUUUAGUAGGUUGGGUCAUAGAAAGCAGAGGAAGUUCUUCUCUGAUAUGAUAAUUCUAUAUUUGGAAACAACAAGAUAAUGGAUUGUCUUUCUUCCUACUUUUAAUGUUCGAGUAUUGGCAUGAACAAAACUCAGAACAAAAUGAAUUUCACUUAUUUCCAAGUGGGCUACUCUAUCAUUUUAAAAAACACAUCACAUAGACAUGGAGUUUGAGGAGAAGAUUUGUUCUAUUCAAUAUUAAGUUAGGCUUCCUUCCUGUAUUCAUCAAAUUGAACUGGAUGGAAUACGAGUCCCUAAUCCAACACCUCCAACUGGAGAAAUAGUCUGCUGAUUCUCACAGAUCUCAUGUCCUGCUUAGCGUAGAUAAUUUUCAUAUGGAUUAUAAUGAAUAAUAUGAAUUUAAACAAUUCACUAGAAGCCUAAAACAUUUUGUUUGAAGCUCUUCUUUGUCCAGCUAAAAAUAACUUCUGGUCUACAAGGCUACCACCAUAAUUGAGUUCUACAUCUCCAGUCACAAGUAGAACCAAAAUUACAGUGAACGUACAAUAAUUCUUUAUCUCUUGGUUCCAGAUUUUUCUCAAUUAUUUAUAUCUCUCUAUUAUGGUCUCAUAUUCCUUUCUGUUACAGAGUUUCAGUCUAUGUUGAGUCAAGCAAUUUUAGGGCUGCUUAAACUCUGGUUCAUUAGCCAUGGUCCACUAGCAUCCAUGUCAUGGCACUAGGGUUUAAUAUGGUUAAUAGGAUCCUGGAGGAGGAAGUAUAUUGAAAAUUAAACUUUAAAUUAAACAUAAAACACUAAAAAUUAUUAGAAGCAUUAAAAAAUAAAUGUUUCCAUAUAUGGGUUAGAAAAUCUGACUUUAUUUUGAUCCUAGGGGCUGCUGGCUGUAGUGAAAUGUAUAAAAAAGAGAGUGUGAUCGUAGUUUCUGUCUCUAACUAUGAGUUACUUGUGAUUAACUUCAAAUAUUCUCUCCAUAAGAAGAGGCCCAGAAGAAGAAGAUGAGCUUCAGUUAUUGUAGCACAACUGCUGUGAUAUUUGUAAAGAUUCAAAACCUAUAAUAAAAUGUAUAAAAGGAAACUCCAUUUGAAAUGAUUUGAAAUCUCACAUGGAAAUCUAUUUUUUUUAAAUCAGAGCUUAGUAAGAGAAAAUAACAGAACAUUGUAAUAAUUGAAUUACAAAAACAACUGAAUUUUGGAAAAUUUAUUUUCUCUCAUGUGAUGUGUGUGUAUGUGUGUGCGUGUGUGUGUGUGUGUGUGUCUAUUUAGCAAUGGCGUUAUUCUAUCAAAUGGGAUUAGAUUCAUUUUUGACUCCUGCUAAGCACCCUGUCCCCGCAACCCCAAGAUUAUGAAAGCGAAAGGGAAGGGGGAGAAAGGAAAUAUGACUUAUUUAAACUGUAUAAAAAUGCUGAAAUAAAAUGAACAUUCAAAA
Gorilla gorilla gorilla (western lowland gorilla) is the source of this 2682-nucleotide long non-coding RNA. RefSeq lists it as uncharacterized. The record is from RefSeq and is a predicted model, not a curated record. The transcript has 6 exons. Lineage: Eukaryota; Metazoa; Chordata; Mammalia; Primates; Hominidae.